GGGCCAGUAGGUUGGUCGUGCCACCGGUACGUACUGGUCUCACUGAUCCCUCCUUCCUGAAGAACCGUAAUGCCAUUAAUUUGGUGUUGCGGGGAAACAGGACUGUUACUUUGAAAAAAUUAGAGUGUUUAAAGCAAGCUAACGCUUGAAUACAUUAGCAUGGAAUAAUGAAAUAGGACGAUCGAUCCUAUUUUGUUGGUUUCUAGGAUUGACGUA
RNAcentral lists this ribosomal RNA (216 nucleotides) under Glomeromycotina sp. Its description in RNAcentral is "partial small subunit ribosomal RNA". The stretch from base 54 to 216 matches the Rfam family "Eukaryotic small subunit ribosomal RNA", at positions 700 to 864 of the family's 1831-position model. The record is from RNAcentral. Lineage: Eukaryota; Fungi; Glomeromycota.